GAAAUGCUGAAAAUUAAAAAAUAUUGUAGAUAACAAAAGAAUAUUUGCAAAUUUGUUAAAAUAAAUUAAAAUAUAUGUUAAUUAUUCAUUAUUUUUUUUUUUUAAUUUUGCCAAAAUUUAGGAGAAAAUUGCAAAAAAUGAAAUGUAAGUCAGUGGUGUAUCCAUAGAUGGGCAAGAGAGUGGUCUGCCCUGAAAGCAAACUGAAGUAGGGGCCAAGAGCAUGGAAUAUUACUACUAUUCACCAGAUAUUUGUAUAAAAAUUUUUAAGAUCAUUUCAGUUCUUAAAAAUUAUUUAAGAAAAUGUGUGUUGAAAAAUAAAAUGUUUUUUGGAAGGGAGAGGGGACCAAAAAAAUGCUGCCCAGGUACCAAAGAUUCUGUGUACACUACUGCAAAUAUCUUUAGGCCAUUUAAAAGGGCAUGGCAUUUUUAUUGCUUUAUAGCAGCCACUUGCUUCCCAGGAAAUUGCAGCCAAACCUAC
This 478-nucleotide long non-coding RNA is filed under the name Androctonus crassicauda. Lineage: Eukaryota; Metazoa; Arthropoda; Arachnida; Scorpiones; Buthidae. The record is from RNAcentral.